This 20-nucleotide small nuclear RNA is filed under the name Arabidopsis thaliana (thale cress). RNAcentral describes it as "snRNA_10439". The record is from RNAcentral. Lineage: Eukaryota; Viridiplantae; Streptophyta; Magnoliopsida; Brassicales; Brassicaceae.
AAUUUGAAUCAUCAUAGGCC